Molecule: long non-coding RNA, 97 nt
Organism: Sapajus apella (tufted capuchin)
Lineage: Eukaryota; Metazoa; Chordata; Mammalia; Primates; Cebidae
Exons: 3
Source: RefSeq, a predicted model, not a curated record
GAUGAUCCACCCGCCUCAGCCUCCCAAAGUGCUGAGAUUAUAGGCAUGAGCCACCGCACCUUGCUGAAACUCUCAUUUAAGUCUGUGUCUAUUGUAA